UAGGGAAUCUUCGGCAAUGGACGGAAGUCUGACCGAGCAACGCCGCGUGAGUGAAGAAGGUUUUCGGAUCGUAAAGCUCUGCUGUUAGAGAAGAACGUUGGUAGGAGUGGAAAAUCUACCAAGUGACGGUAACUAACCAGAAAGGGACGGCUAACUACGUGCCAGCAGCCGCGGUAAUACGUAGGUCCCGAGCGUUGUCCGGAUUUAUUGGGCGUAAAGCGAGCGCAGGCGGUUCUUUAAGUCUGAAGUUAAAGGCAGUGGCUUAACCAGUGUACGCUUUGGAAACUGGAGGACUUGAGUGCAGAAGGGGAGUGUGGAAUUCCAUGUGUAGCGGUGAAAUGCGUAGAUAUAUGGAGGAACACCGGUGGCGAGGGCGGCUCUCUGGUCUGUAACUGACGCUGAGGCUCGAAAGCGUGGGGAGCAAACAGG
RNAcentral lists this ribosomal RNA (429 nucleotides) under Bacillota bacterium. Its description in RNAcentral is "Firmicutes bacterium partial 16S ribosomal RNA". It matches the Rfam family "Bacterial small subunit ribosomal RNA", at positions 355 to 776 of the family's 1533-position model. The record is from RNAcentral. Lineage: Bacteria; Bacillati; Bacillota.